Molecule: ribosomal RNA, 480 nt
Filed under: uncultured bacterium
Lineage: Bacteria
Description: bacterial SSU rRNA
Rfam family: Bacterial small subunit ribosomal RNA
Source: RNAcentral
CAGGCUUAACACAUGCAAGUCGAGGGGCAUCUGGGGUAGUAAGCUUGCUUACUACUGCCGGCGACCGGCGCACGGGUGAAUAACACGUAUGCAACCUGGCCGUCACAGAGGGAUAACCGGGACAAAUCCCGCCUAAUACCGCAUAAUACCGGGGAAGGACAUCCUUUCCCGGUCAAAGGAGCGAUCCGGUGACGGAUGGGCAUGCGCCGCAUUAGUUAGUUGGCGGUGUAACGGACCACCAAGACGACGAUGCGUAGGGGUUCUGAGAGGAAGGUCCCCCACUCUGGUACUGACACACGGACCAGACUCCUACGGGAGGCAGCAGUGAGGAAUAUUGGUCACUGGGCGAGAGCCUGAACCAGCCAAGUCUCGUGAGGGAAGACGGCCCUAUGGAUUGUAAACCUCUUUUGCCGGGGAGCAAAAAGCGGUACGUGUACCGCAUCGAGAGUACCCGGAGAAAAAGCUUCGGCUAACUCCGUG